UACCAGCACCCCGAGUGGUCGGGACGAUUAUUGGGCCUAAAGCAUCCGUAGCCGGUCCUACAAGUCUUCCGUUAAAUCCACCUGCUUAACAGAUGGGCUGCGGAAGAUACUAUAGGGCUAGGAGGCGGGAGAGGCAAGCGGUACUCAGUGGGUAGGGGUAAAAUCCUCUGAUCCAUUGAAGAUCACCAGUGGCGAAGGCGGCUUGCCAGAACGCGCUCGACGGUGAGGGAUGAAAGCUGGGGGAGCAAACCGG
This 253-nucleotide ribosomal RNA is filed under the name uncultured bacterium. RNAcentral's name for it is "partial 16S ribosomal RNA". It matches the Rfam family "Archaeal small subunit ribosomal RNA", at positions 474 to 727 of the family's 1478-position model. The record is from RNAcentral.